Bombina bombina (fire-bellied toad) is the source of this 1554-nucleotide long non-coding RNA. RefSeq lists it as uncharacterized. The transcript is spliced from 2 exons. Lineage: Eukaryota; Metazoa; Chordata; Amphibia; Anura; Bombinatoridae. The record is from RefSeq and is a predicted model, not a curated record.
GUUCUCUAUAGGUGCUAGGUAUCUAAAGGCGCGUGCAUGUGGUAAUAUCUCUGUAUAAGCUUAUAUGAACCAAUAAGAAGAUGAAGAGGUUGAAGAUAUUGUGAUUCCUAAAUCUUCUGAGAGUUUAGACAACAAAUCAAACUUAAAAAAAGAUAUAGAAGGUAGUGACAGCUGAGAUAAUAUUGUAGUUUAUUUGAUGUGCUCACGUAUGCACAUUUCUACAUGCACUGUAGACCCAAAGCUUGUAUCCUCUUCCGUUGUUGGAAGCAGUUCAUCACUGUGUACACCGUGACAUAAAGCCUUGGAAAAUUCUACUAAACUGUUAAGGGAACAUCAGGCUCUGAGAUUUUGGGAUAAUUGAUACAUUCGUUCGCUGCCAUUUUAUAGCCAGAAUGUUUGUUCUACAGGGAGACUAUAAUGUUCCAUCCUACGUAUCUAAUGAAUGUAAAAUCAUACUAAGCAAUCUCCUGGUUACAAAUCCCCCAGAAGAGGUGUUCAUUGGAGCCAUUCAUUAAUGAUCGAUGGACAAGCAUAGGACCUCAGAUGAAAUUAGCAUCAUCAGUUGAAGAUCCUGAAACAGAUGGCCCCUCCACAGCCAGCACUAAGGAUUAUGAAACAGAUAGCAACUCUGCAGAGACUAAUAAAAAAACCCACACCACAACUCUUACUAAUAUUACAUGGUUACUCUAAGAACCCCAGUCCUGUCUUGCAGAGAAACUACCCAUUUGAGGACUUUAGAGCCAUUUCUUCAGAGCACAUUCUCUGCUUACCUCCUUCAGUAGACAAAGGCAAAGAAUGACUGGGGAAGUGGGAGGGAUACUUAUAGCUUUGGCUGGGGUGUCUUUGCCUCCUCCUGGUGGCCAGGUGAUGUAAUUACCAACAGUAAUUAAUGAAUUUGUUGACUCUGCCAUUGGAAGGAAAAGAGCUAUGUCCAUGUCAUCUAUGAGUGGUGACUUUGAAAACUAUUACAUCUACUGUUUUGAGUUACCCCCUUUGGAUUGGAGCUUGAGAUUGGAGCAUAGUGAUGAUCAUGACAGUGACAAUAAGAGCUUUGUCACAGCUAAAUCAAGUCCUCCCUCUCCUGAUUCUGCUGUCCCAUCUGCUGAAGAACAUGAAGAGCCUUCUAUGUCUUCACCUCCUAUAGGAGGAUGGUGCUGAUACACAGGAAUCUGGCAUGAUACCUGAAGACCAUCCAAAUUUAGCUGGAGAAAAUAAAAGAACAGCAGAUGGCGCUCUUUUUGGAACUGCAUUAGGGGACUUUUUUGCUGCUGCAGUAUUAAAUUGUUUGUCAAACGUGGGUCUUUCUAAUAUUUUUUCUGUGACUUCAGAUUAGACAUUUAAUAGGUGUUGACCUUUCUACUAGUUAGGACCUUUUUUUUUUUUAUAUAUACCAAAUAUGACCUUUUUAUCGGAUGUGGCCUUUUUUUUACCAGAUAUAAGUUUUGUUUUACCGGGUAAGACAUUUUUUUUAUCAGAUGUGACAUUUUUACCGGAUGUGUCCUUUUGUUAUACAAUGUUUCUAUAAUAAAGUUUUCAUCUGAUUAUUAAAAAAAA